CCUACGGGUGGCAGCAGUGAGGAAUAUUGGUCAAUGGACGAGAGUCUGAACCAGCCAAGUCGCGUGAAGGAUGACUGCCCUAUGGGUUGUAAACUUCUUUUAUAAGGGAAUAAAACGAGGAACGUGUGCCGUUUUGAAUGUACUUUAUGAAUAAGGAUCGGCUAACUCCGUGCCAGCAGCCGCGGUAAUACGGAGGAUCCGAGCGUUAUCCGGAUUUAUUGGGUUUAAAGGGAGCGUAGAUGGUUUGUUAAGUCAGUUGUGAAAGUUUGCGGCUCAACCGUAGAAUUGCAUUUGAUACUGGCAGUCUUGAGUACAGUUGAGGUAGGCGGAAUGCGUGGUGUAGCGGUGAAAUGCAUAGAGAUCACGAAGAACCCCGAUUGCGAAGGCAGCUUACUAAACUGUGACUGACAUUGAUGCACGAAAGUGUGGGUAUCAAACAGGAUUAGAUACCCCUGUAGUC
Molecule: ribosomal RNA, 460 nt
Filed under: uncultured bacterium
Lineage: Bacteria
Description: partial 16S ribosomal RNA
Rfam family: Bacterial small subunit ribosomal RNA
Source: RNAcentral